UAGGGAAUCUUCGGCAAUGGACGAAAGUCUGACCGAGCAACGCCGCGUGAGUGAAGAAGGCUUUCGGAUCGUAAAACUCUGUUGUUAGAGAAGAACAAGGACGUUAGUAACUGAACGUCCCCUGACGGUAUCUAACCAGAAAGCCACGGCUAACUACGUGCCAGCAGCCGCGGUAAUACGUAGGUGGCAAGCGUUGUCCGGAUUUAUUGGGCGUAAAGCGAGCGCAGGCGGUUUCUUAAGUCGGAUGUGAAAGCCCCCGGCUCAACCGGGGAGGGUCAUUGGAAACUGGGGGACUUGAGUGCAGAAGGGGAGAGGGGAAUUCCAUGUGUAGCGGUGAAGUGCGUAGAUAUAGGGAGGAACACCAGUGGCGAAGGCGGCUCUCUGGUCUGUAACGGACGGUGGGGCUCGAAAGCGUGGGGAGCAAACAGG
This 429-nucleotide ribosomal RNA is filed under the name Gemmatimonadota bacterium. RNAcentral describes it as "Gemmatimonadetes bacterium partial 16S ribosomal RNA". It matches the Rfam family "Bacterial small subunit ribosomal RNA", at positions 355 to 776 of the family's 1533-position model. Lineage: Bacteria; Pseudomonadati; Gemmatimonadota. The record is from RNAcentral.